CACAAGCGGUGGAGCAUGUGGUUUAAUUGAUGAUAGCGAGACCGUUACCUGGGCUCAAAUGUAUGUUGACGUAUUCUGAAAGGGAUACUUCUUCGGACAAUAUACAAGGUGCUGCAUGGUUGUCGUCAGCUCGUGCCGUGAGGUGUCGGGUUAAGUCCCAUAACGAGCGCAACCCCUAUCAUUAGUUGCCAUCAGGUCAAGCUGGGGACUCUAAUGAAACUGCCUACGCAAGUAGUGAGGAAGGUGGGGAUGACGUCAAAUCAGCACGGCCCUUACGUCCAGGGCUACACACGUGCUACAAUGGCCGGUACAAAGGGCAGCUACCUGGUGACAGGAUGCUAAUCUCAAAAGCCGGUCUCAGUUCGGAUCGGAGUCUGCAACCCGACUCCGUGGAGCUGGAAUCGCUAGUAAUCGCGCAUCAGCCAUGGCGCGGUGAAUACGUUCCCGGGCCUU
This 453-nucleotide ribosomal RNA is filed under the name uncultured Sphingobacteriales bacterium. RNAcentral's name for it is "bacterial SSU rRNA". It matches the Rfam family "Bacterial small subunit ribosomal RNA", at positions 924 to 1382 of the family's 1533-position model. The record is from RNAcentral. Lineage: Bacteria; Pseudomonadati; Bacteroidota; Sphingobacteriia; Sphingobacteriales.